GGCUCGAUUUUGGUGGCCUUGUGAUUAGAGCGUCCGCCUCAGAUACGGGAUGUCGCGGGUUCGAACCCCUGUUGAGUCG
This is a non-coding RNA of Potamilus streckersoni, 79 nucleotides long. NCBI's taxonomy places the organism in Eukaryota, Metazoa, Mollusca, Bivalvia, Unionida, Unionidae. The record is from the annotation of a GenBank genome assembly.